This 443-nucleotide ribosomal RNA is filed under the name uncultured bacterium. RNAcentral's name for it is "partial 16S ribosomal RNA". It matches the Rfam family "Bacterial small subunit ribosomal RNA", at positions 338 to 795 of the family's 1533-position model. The record is from RNAcentral.
CCUACGGGAGGCAGCAGUGGGGAAUAUUGGGCAAUGGGCGCAAGCCUGACCCAGCAACGCCGCGUGAAGGAAGAAGGCUUUCGGGUUGUAAACUUCUUUUCUCAGGGACGAAGAAAGUGACGGUACCUGAGGAAUAAGCCACGGCUAACUACGUGCCAGCAGCCGCGGUAAUACGUAGGUGGCAAGCGUUAUCCGGAUUUAUUGGGUGUAAAGGGCGUGUAGGCGGGAGCGCAAGUCAGAUGUGAAAACUCAGGGCUCAACCCUGAGCCUGUAUUUGAAACUGUGUUUCUUGAGUGCUGGGGAGGCAAUCGGAAUUCCGUGUGUAGCGGUGAAAUGCGUAGAUAUACGGAGGAACACCAGUGGCGAAGGCGGAUUGCUGGACAGUAACUGACGCUGAGGCGCGAAAGCGUGGGGAGCAAACAGGAUUAGAUACCCUUGUAGUC